Molecule: small RNA, 418 nt
Filed under: Pan troglodytes (chimpanzee)
Lineage: Eukaryota; Metazoa; Chordata; Mammalia; Primates; Hominidae
Description: processed transcript
Source: RNAcentral
CAAGUGAACAAUGGCCUCACCCUCAGUGACCUUCCUCUGCACAUGCUGAACAACAUCCUAUACCGGUUCUCAGACGGAUGGGACAUCAUCACCUUAGGCCAGGUGACCCCCACGUUGUAUAUGCUUAGUGAAGACAGACAGCUGUGGAAGAAGCUUUGUCAGUACCAUUUUGCUGAAAAGCAGUUUUGUAGACAUUUGAUCCUUUCAGAAAAAGGUCAUAUUGAAUGGAAGUUGAUGUACUUUGCACUUCAGAAACAUUACCCAGCGAAGGAGCAGUACGGAGACACACUGCAUUUCUGUCGGCAUUGCAGCAUUCUCUUUUGGAAGGACUACCAUCUUGCUUUACUAUUCAAGAACAACACCUGAGUGCUGAGGGAGGCUGCUAGAUGUGCACAUAAACACUUCACCACACAGCACC